RNAcentral lists this ribosomal RNA (460 nucleotides) under uncultured bacterium. RNAcentral's name for it is "partial 16S ribosomal RNA". It matches the Rfam family "Bacterial small subunit ribosomal RNA", at positions 338 to 795 of the family's 1533-position model. The record is from RNAcentral.
CCUACGGGGUGCAGCGGUGAGGAAUAUUGGUCAAUGGACGAGAGUCUGAACCAGCCAAGUAGCGUGAAGGAUGACUGCCCUAUGGGUUGUAAACUUCUUUUAUAUGGGAAUAAAAUGUUCCACGUGUGGGAUUUUGUAUGUACCAUAUGAAUAAGGAUCGGCUAACUCCGUGCCAGCAGCCGCGGUAAUACGGAGGAUCCGAGCGUUAUCCGGAUUUAUUGGGUUUAAAGGGAGCGUAGGUGGAUUGUUAAGUCAGUUGUGAAAGUUUGCGGCUCAACCGUAAAAUUGCAGUUGAAACUGGCAGUCUUGAGUACAGUAGAGGUGGGCGGAAUUCGUGGUGUAGCGGUGAAAUGCUUAGAUAUCACGAAGAACUCCGAUUGCGAAGGCAGUUCACUGGACUGCAACUGACACUGAGGCUCGAAAGUGUGGGUAUCAAACAGGAUUAGAUACCCGGGUAGUC